UGAUUGAUGACUUUGGUUUAGUGGUAACAAGGUAACCGUAUGGGAACCUGGUGUUGGAUCACCUCCUUACCUUAAAGAA
This 79-nucleotide ribosomal RNA is filed under the name Salmonella enterica subsp. enterica serovar Enteritidis. Its description in RNAcentral is "partial 16S ribosomal RNA". The record is from RNAcentral. Lineage: Bacteria; Pseudomonadati; Pseudomonadota; Gammaproteobacteria; Enterobacterales; Enterobacteriaceae.